This 298-nucleotide ribosomal RNA is filed under the name uncultured bacterium. RNAcentral describes it as "partial 16S ribosomal RNA". It matches the Rfam family "Bacterial small subunit ribosomal RNA", at positions 335 to 650 of the family's 1533-position model. The record is from RNAcentral.
GGUCCUACGGGACGCAGCAGUGGGGAGUAUUGCGCAAUGGGGGAAACCCUGACGCAGCAACGCCGCGUGCGGGAUGAAGGCCUUCGGGUUGUAAACCGCUUUCAGCAGGGAAGAUCCAAGACGGUACCUGCAGAAGAAGCCCCGGCUAACUACGUGCCAGCAGCCGCGGUAAUACGUAGGGGGCAAGCGUUAUCCGGAUUCAUUGGGCGUAAAGCGCGCGCAGGCGGGUUGCUAAGCGGGACCUCUAAUCCCAGGGCUCAACCUUGAGACGGGUCCCGAAAUGGCAGCCUCGGGUUCG